CUGAGUUGCAAACUCUCUAAACCAUUGUGAACCUAACUAUCCGUUGCUUCGGCGGGGACGGCCUCAGCGGCCUCGCGCCACCCCUCGGGGAGGCAGCCGCGGAGGCGUCAAACUCUUAGUAUUAAUUGGCUUCUCUGAGUAGCUUAUUCAAUAAGUCA
This 158-nucleotide unclassified non-coding RNA is filed under the name soil metagenome. Its description in RNAcentral is "partial internal transcribed spacer 1". The record is from RNAcentral.